RNAcentral lists this ribosomal RNA (230 nucleotides) under uncultured bacterium. RNAcentral's name for it is "partial 16S ribosomal RNA". It matches the Rfam family "Bacterial small subunit ribosomal RNA", at positions 126 to 354 of the family's 1533-position model. The record is from RNAcentral.
CUGCCUAUCAGAGGGGAAUAACAGUGAGAAAUCACUGCUAAUACCGCAUAUGCCAUAGUUAUCGCAUGAUGAUAGUGGGAAAGAAGCAAUUCGCUGAUAGAUGAGCUUGCGGCUGAUUAGCUAGUUGGUGGGGUAACGGCCUACCAAGGCGACGAUCAGUAGCCGGACUGAGAGGUUGAACGGCCACAUUGGGACUGAGAUACGGCCCAGACUCCUACGGAAGGCAGCAG